RNAcentral lists this ribosomal RNA (253 nucleotides) under uncultured bacterium. RNAcentral describes it as "partial 16S ribosomal RNA". It matches the Rfam family "Bacterial small subunit ribosomal RNA", at positions 524 to 776 of the family's 1533-position model. The record is from RNAcentral.
UACAGAGGGUGCGAGCGUUAAUCGGAAUUACUGGGCGUAAAGGGCGCGUAGGCGGUUAGACGAGUUAGAUGUGAAAUUCUUGGGCUUAACCUGGGGCUGGCAUAUAAUACUGUCUGACUAGAAUAGAGUAGAGGGAAGUGGAAUUUCCGGUGUAGCGGUGAAAUGCGUAGAUAUCGGAAAGAACAUCGGUGGCGAAGGCGGCUUUCUGGACUCAUAUUGACGCUGAGGCGCGAAAGCAUGGGGAGCAAACAGG